Long non-coding RNA from Triplophysa rosa, 393 nucleotides. RefSeq lists it as uncharacterized. NCBI's taxonomy places the organism in Eukaryota, Metazoa, Chordata, Actinopteri, Cypriniformes, Nemacheilidae. The record is from RefSeq and is a predicted model, not a curated record. The transcript has 4 exons.
GGCGGAGGAGGAAUAUGUCUCCUGAGGCGCUGCCAGGAAUAAUAGUGAUUUUGCUCUUCUGCAGUCCAAGAGCAGCUCACCAUGGAAGGAUAGAUUUAUUUCUUCAGGUGAUUCUUUAGGUCUGCAUGAGAUUUUCUUUCCAUUCCUGAAAAUCUUACACUGUAGAGAUGGCAUCAGACUGGGAAACCUAAAAUAGGAUGCGUUGAACUGGCCGGCAGAGAAAUCUUGACAUCAUCUCAAUGACUUUGUCUCCUUCAAGGGCAGGGGUGCCCUGCUCUCAGAAACCAUGAGACUCAACACGCCUCUGAAGCUUUUACAUUCAGCCCCUGAGGAGGACAGUAAUUGGAGGUUCACAUCUCUUUGGUUCCUAUGCUAAAAGCUUCAAGCAAAGCA